AGAGUUUGAUCCUGGCUCAGAUUGAACGCUGGCGGCAGGCCUAACACAUGCAAGUCGAGCGCUUCCAGCUUGCUGGAGGAGCGGCGAACGGGUGAGUAACGCGUAGGAAUCUGCCUGGUAGUGGGGGACAACGUCUCGAAAGGGACGCUAAUACCGCAUACGCCCUACGGGGGAAAGGGGGGGCUCUUCGGACCUCUCGCUAUCAGAUGAGCCUGCGUCGGAUUAGCUAGUUGGUGAGGUAAAGGCUCACCAAGGCGACGAUCCGUAGCUGGUCUGAGAGGAUGAUCAGCCACACCGGAACUGAGACACGGUCCGGACUCCUACGGGAGGCAGCAGUGGGGAAUAUUGGACAAUGGGGGCAACCCUGAUCCAGCCAUGCCGCGUGUGUGAAGAAGGCCUUCGGGUUGUAAAGCACUUUAAGGGGGGAGGAAGGUUCCAAAGCGAAUACCUUUGGGAAUUGACGUUACCCCAGAAUAAGCACCGGCUAACUCGUGCCAGCAGCCGCGGUAAUAC
RNAcentral lists this ribosomal RNA (513 nucleotides) under uncultured bacterium. Its description in RNAcentral is "bacterial SSU rRNA". It matches the Rfam family "Bacterial small subunit ribosomal RNA", at positions 8 to 526 of the family's 1533-position model. The record is from RNAcentral.